This is a long non-coding RNA of Asterias rubens (European starfish), 817 nucleotides long. RefSeq lists it as uncharacterized. The transcript is spliced from 4 exons. Lineage: Eukaryota; Metazoa; Echinodermata; Asteroidea; Forcipulatida; Asteriidae. The record is from RefSeq and is a predicted model, not a curated record.
GCUGCCGGUUGAAGGCUCCAGUUUUUCCCUUCAGUUUUCCCAGAUUUGAAGCCCGACUUGAUCGACAAAACAACUGUACAGUGAUCGAGUCAGAUCAAAAUAAUGGACUCCAUGAUGGCUGACUCUACAUCCAGAUGGACCGAAGCUUUAAGAGAAAUCUGACGUUUGGCUGAAAUGCCUGCUGUCAGAUCAAAAUGUUGGACUUGCCCCCCUUGUGUCUCCAUGACGGCUGACUCUACAUCCAGAUGGACCGAAGCUUUAAGAGAAAUCUAUGGACGUUUUGCUGAAAUGCCUGCUGGUUCCGACAAACUUUUGCUGAGUGCAGACAAAUCCUGAUGCAGUUUCCUCAUACUCUGAACUGUGUAACCUUCCGUAGUUGUGAUGCUUGGAAAUGCAUACUUCAAAUUGUCCUUCUGUGUACUUAUCAAACAUUGCUUGAAAAAGGCUAUAACCUUGCGUACUUAGCAAUUUUUACUUGAAAAUGCUACAAGGCAUGCUCAUCAGAUUUUGCUUCUGCAUACUUAUCAAACUUUUCUUGAAAAUGAACAAGGCCUUGCGUACUUUUUUGCUUGAAGUAUGCCUUGCAAAUUUGGCUUCUGCAUACUUAUCAUAUUUUGCUUGAAAAUGCAACAAGGCUUUAGCCUUGCAUACUUAUCAAAUUUUGCUUCAAAAUGCUACAAGGCUUUACUUAUCAAAUUUUGCAACAAGACAUACUUAUCAAAUUUUGCUUCUGCGUACUUAUCAGAUUUUUGCAUGAAAAAGCUACAAGACUAUAGCCUUGCAUACUUAUCAAAUUUUGCUUGAAAAUGCUACAAGA